Molecule: long non-coding RNA, 1173 nt
Organism: Bubalus bubalis (water buffalo)
Lineage: Eukaryota; Metazoa; Chordata; Mammalia; Artiodactyla; Bovidae
Exons: 2
Source: RefSeq, a predicted model, not a curated record
CUCAAAGAAAAUUCAUUCCCUUUGGGAGGCCCCUGGGCAACAACCACUACUCAGAACAACUGACAGUCCUGAAACCCAGAGCAGCACAUCGUGGUGCUCAGGGGGUGUUUGCUGACUGAAUAAAUGACUGUAAUCAGACACUGAAAGCAAGCCUUGAGGCUGGGAGGAGAUCCCCAAUCCUGUCUUCAAACAGGAGGUCUCUCCUUUUUGGUAUGGGUGAGUGAAAUAGGGUUUGGAAAGGGAAACGAUGUGUUACAAAUUAUCUGGUAAACCAAGGACAUGUGGGAAGAGGAUGUGAGCAGGCACAUCCCAGGAAACUGAGCACAGAGGAUGCAGCAGCUGCACCCUAACUCCUGCUUGUGGACAUCACACUGUCUCUAACUCUGGAAGCAGGGUGAACAGGGCACAGGUUUCCUGGAGAGGAUGGUCAUAUGACCUCAACCUGGCCUAUUAGCAUGUUUCACUCCUCCCUGGCCAUUGUGAUUGGCUCUGAGCUGGGCAAAUGACCAAUCAGGACUCAGGGCAGACCUCCUGCUGGAAUCCUGGGGAAGAGGAGCUUUAUUUCUGUUUGGAGCAGGGCAAAGGUCAGCCUGUGGCAGUUGGUGGGGCUAUGAGGUCAGCCUGUGGCAGUUGGUGGGGACGUGAGUUCAGCCUGUGGUAGUUGGAGGGGAUGGGAGGUAGCCUGCAGCAGUUGGUGGCCAUCUUGCUCCCAUAAAGGCGGAGACCCCUGCAGGAGGACGGCAGCAGCAUGCAGAGCUGAGAAGUUGGGGAGAGAGAAUUUCCGCUCAGGUCCUUGAGAUCCAGAGCCCACUGGGCACCGGCAGCCCGAGACAUCUCGUCCAGUGGAAGGUGACUGUGUCCCGCCCUGCUCAUGGGUGCCCUGCUCUUUAAUACAAAACCCACACCCUCCCUGUGGGACCGUGAUGGACAAAUAAAGUGAUGAGCAGCCGUGGCUCAGCCAGCCCCAGCCCACACCUCACAGAAGAGGAGACAGUCUGUGAGCACAACGUUCCGUCAUCAGAGUCAACUACUUUCCAGCCCUGAGGUGGGGAUGUUUCAGUUUGGAGACACAGAGCACAGAGCACCGGUGUGGAUGGUCCUGGAAGCAAGGGGGCCAGCCCAGCCUCCUCUCCCCAGCCUGGCUCCUGACCUCUGCCCUGUGUGUGCCUGACA